ACACACCACACGAGACCAAUAGUGACGAAAUGGAUGAGUGAACAAGAUGGGCCUUAAGCCCAAUCCCACUUAAGUGCCCACAAAGAAAGCAUGGAAUUUGAAAGGGGCAGCUGUACAGCUGCUCCAACCGUGUGGCUUUGCAAGCCUUCGGUAUUCCUCAUGCAGCCAUCUGUCUUGGUAAUGAGAAUAUUCAUGGCCUUUGAAAAACUACCCAACCGUCAUUUGUAUUAAUUGGUACAUAAAUGAUUAUUAACUCUAAUUAACAGCACUACAAUGUCUCUUUAAACUCCAAUAACCCCCUUUCUCUAUGCACUUUUCACUAUUGCCACACAGUAUAUCAACGAAAGAAAGAUCCACACGACCGAACUUGAUGAACAAUAGAUGAAGUUCAUCAGUUUCGAUUUUUCAAAAAUUUAGAGAAAAAACGAAAUAACCAUUUUCCAAAACAAAUUCCACAGCCCUAACCUAAAACGCUUCGGAAUAUCAAACAAAUCAGAACCCUGUUUCAUGGCUUUUCUAGAAACAAAAUCCAUUUGCAAUCCCCAUUUAAACGUUAGCCAUGGCAAGAAAAUACCGUAUACAAUAUUAACAAUCAACAACCAUCAAUUAAUUUGACGUACACGGUUCAAUACGCAUAUGAAGGUUUUGAUCCCAAAAAGCUUUACGCAAAGAGAAACAGAUCUCAACGGUCACGACUCCGUCGAAAUUCCGGUGACCAAGAGUAGUACCUCAGUGGUUUAGCACAGUCUACUCAAAAUUCUGAUGAUGAACUUUAAGUAUACUUUGGAUGCUUUGAGCUUUGGUGAUUGAGUUUGGGUGAAAUCUUAGCAGAGUAACGGUGCUUUCUCCUCCUCCUUUUCAGUGAUUGCGUGCCUCUAUAUAUAGAGCGAAGGUGAGUAACUCUUCAAUCGUGAGCUGGCAAAUCCUAGCGGAUCUUUCCGUUAGAGAAUUGAUCCUAUCCAGAUUUUGUGGUCCCUUCAUACCAGGUGGUAUCAAAUUCAUUCUUCUCUUUUUUUUUUGCGUGGUCAUUCCUUCAAAUCUCUCUCUUUGAAGAAUUUUUACUGUUGUAACAGGUAUUCGUGUGCUGGUGAGUAAAUCCGUGUUUUUACCAUUUCUUCAAAAACACGCUUUAACGUUUCAAAUUUGUUUUGACUUGACGUGAACAUUUGCAACAUGAACCUUGGCUGAAACUCCAACUCUUGAUGCGUAUUGCCGGUAUUUACGUUGUUUUUUAGUUUUGGGAUGCUAUUGUGAAGGUCACAAGAUGCUCCUUGAUGCUUGCAAAGUGGGCUUUGUGGUUAUGUUGGAUUUGGUGGUGCUGCUAUGUUAACUACCAUGCCAAUGAAAACAAUAUGGAAUAUGAUGCGAGUGAGGUACAUGGUCGGAUUGUGAUGUAGCAAUGCUUGUCGGAGUGAAACGCAGGUUUACUUUUGCUCGGUCAAAGUAGAGUGCAUCAUGUUUUUCACCACGGUGGAUGGACUGUCAUAGCGCGCGGCUUUUUGCGACACGGUUCCAUCACUUGCAGACACUUAUUUAGGAACGCCAUGAUAUUGUACACAAUCAAUGUACAUGAUUUAGGGUGCUGUUAUGUUAACACAAGUUGGCGGGUAACUUCAAGUUCCAUUAUUUCACUUCUGUUUCGAAAGGAUGUGGUUUAUGGACACUGAUGAGUGCUUACUCAGAAGCAAAACUUGAUUAAUGGAGAGUGUGUACCAACACAAGUGUGGCUGAUUGGUGUUAGCCACAUAGCUGGAUUUUGAGGCCUUGCUGAUUUUGCAUUUCUCGUUAUGCUUCUGUUGUCAUUUUGAUUCUUUUUUUUGACAUGUUUUCUUUCGUGGAAUGCAAGUUUUGGAUAUUCGUAUGAUUACUACGUAUGCAUUUUGACCAUUGCGACAACCAGUUGACGUUGGGACAUUGCUUGGUGUCAUGAGGCAUUUUUAUUAUUGCACUUGUGCUGGCUGGAUGUAUGGAAAACGUUCCAGUAUGCUGUCAUGGAUACCGAGGUAAAUGGCCGAUGAAGAGUGUGCUCCAACUUGGUUGUAAUCCAAUGGUGAUGUCAUGGUCUUUGGAUGCCGAUAUCCGAACCCAGCAGGUGUCAAUUGCGCAGUCCAAGCUCCUGAUUAUGCUGCCUUGACAUAUGUUGCGAAAGGGGGCCGUGGCUUUUCACAUUAACAACUUCAAAUUUGUUGGUUGUUUUGCUCAUGUUGAACAUGUUGGGUUUGGCUUCCAUAGCGCUUGCUGCAAUGUUAUGGUCGAUGGAUUCUUGACAAAGCCGGAAGUCUUGCAAUUGUGUUGAAUGGCCUUUGGAUUUUUUAGAAGAACCAGAACCUCUGCCGAAAGUUAUCACAGUACAUCAUCACUUCAAACUCCAUACGUAAUAGGCCCUCAUUAAAUCAAAGUGAUUAGCUUUUAUUUGUCUGAGCUCUAAACUUUUGUAUUUCUUUUGAGCUUAUUCCCAAACUAUCAUAACUGGAUUAGAAACUUGAAUGUUACAUGUAACUUUUUUAUUGCCUGUUUAAA
Molecule: long non-coding RNA, 2520 nt
Organism: Lathyrus oleraceus (garden pea)
Lineage: Eukaryota; Viridiplantae; Streptophyta; Magnoliopsida; Fabales; Fabaceae
Exons: 5
Source: RefSeq, a predicted model, not a curated record